CCGGUCCAGGUGCCGGCCGGCCCCUGUCGCGCGCUUAGAACCAGAUUCCGAGGACGAGAGGUUCAGACACACCGAGAGGGGAGGCUUCGCAAGCUGACCCCAGCCGUGCUCCCCCACCUGCCGCCGUCGCUGCUAAACCGGCCCACGGCUGCGGCCACUUCCACCAGUUAUACCCAAGGCUUUCCGGAUCCGCCCUCAGGUGCCCUAGGAGUGGCGCGGGCCACGUGACACGCAGGAUAGCUCAGCCCUCAGCGGUCCAUGACUUGGUGUUUUCCGCCAUCGUCUUCGUGCUCAGGUUUCCUACAUCUCUUCGGGGCAGCCUGCGGUUCCUGCUGUUCCCUGUGGAUAUCCUGGUAUCACCUGAAGCCAAUGUGCAUUUCCUCCGACCUUUUUGAUUCCCCUUGGUUCACGGAUGAACCGUGGUUUCUUGCGUAACUGACUACAAAGUCGUCUUGCCAGUCACGUUUGAGAUGACAAAAUUGCUCAGAAAAACGUUCCUCAGCAUGCUAAUGUUUGUUAAUUUUCACAAGUGCCUACAGGAGAAGUAGGAGACACUAUAGGGCUCCCAGAUGAAAACCAAAGAUAAAGAAAGCUUUUAUUUUUAAA
Molecule: long non-coding RNA, 606 nt
Organism: Suricata suricatta (meerkat)
Lineage: Eukaryota; Metazoa; Chordata; Mammalia; Carnivora; Herpestidae
Exons: 2
Source: RefSeq, a predicted model, not a curated record